CUGGCGGCACGCUUAACACAUGCAAGUCGAACGAGAAGCCCGGAGCUUGCUCUGGGUGGACAGUGGCGAACGGGUGAGGAACACGUGAGGAACCUGCCCUGGAGACCGGGACAACAUCGGGAAACCGUUGCUAAUACCGGAUGCCCUCAUCGGACCGCAUGAUCUGAUGAGGAAAUGGAUUCCGCUCCAGGAUGGCCUCGCGGCCUAUCAGCUUGUUGGUGGGGUAACGGCCCACCAAGGCUUCGACGGGUAGCUGGUCUGAGAGGAUGUCCAGCCACACUGGGACUGAGACACGGCCCAGACUCCUACGGGAGGCAGCAGUGGGGAAUCUUGCGCAAUGGGCGAAAGCCUGACGCAGCGAUGCCGCGUGCGGGAUGAAGGCCUUCGGGUUGUAAACCGCUUUCAGCAGGGACGAAAAUGGCGGUACCUGCAGAAGAAGCCCCGGCCAACUACGUGCCAGCAGCCGCGGUAAUACGUAGGGGGCGAGCGUUGUCCGGAUUUAUUGGGCGUAAAGAGCUCGUAGGCGGUUCGAUAAGUCGGAUGUGAAAUCUCCACGCUCAACGUGGAGGGUGCAUUCGAUACUGUCGUGACUAGAGUCCGGUAGAGGAGUGUGGAAUUCCCGGUGUAGCGGUGAAAUGCGCAGAGAUCGGGAGGAACACCCGUAGCGAA
Molecule: ribosomal RNA, 669 nt
Filed under: uncultured soil bacterium
Lineage: Bacteria
Description: bacterial SSU rRNA
Rfam family: Bacterial small subunit ribosomal RNA
Source: RNAcentral